This 650-nucleotide ribosomal RNA is filed under the name uncultured archaeon. Its description in RNAcentral is "bacterial SSU rRNA". It matches the Rfam family "Archaeal small subunit ribosomal RNA", at positions 162 to 810 of the family's 1478-position model. The record is from RNAcentral.
UUAGGGCACUGGAAGGUCCCUAAACCGAAAGGGGCUCUGCCCGCCCGAGGAUGGGCCGGCGGCCGAUUAGGUAGUUGGUGGGGUAACGGCCCACCAAGCCCAUAAUCGGUACGGGCAGUGAGAGCUGGAGCCCGGAGAUGGACACUGAGACACGGGUCCAGGCCCUACGGGGCGCAGCAGGCGCGAAACCUCCGCAAUGCUCGAAAGAGCGACGGGGGGACCCCAAGUGCCGUGGUACGACCACGGCUUUUCCGGAGUGUAAGAAGCUCCGGGAAUAAGGGCUGGGCAAGGCCGGUGGCAGCCGCCGCGGUAAUACCGGCGGCCCGAGUGGUGGCCACUAUUAUUGGGCCUAAAGCGUCCGUAGCCGGGCUUGUAAGUCCCUGGCGAAAUCCCACGGCUCAACCGUGGGGCUUGCUGGGGAUACUGCAAGCCUUGGGACCGGGAGAGGCCGGGGGUACUCCUGGGGUAGGGGUGAAAUCCUAUAAUCCCAGGAGGACCGCCAGUGGCGAAGGCGCCCGGCUGGAACGGGUCCGACGGUGAGGGACGAAGGCCAGGGGAGCAAACCGGAUUAGAUACCCGGGUAGUCCUGGCUGUAAAGGAUGCGGGCUAGGUGUUGCUUGGACCUCGAGUCCAAGCAGUGCCGCAGGGAA